AGAGUUUGAUCAUGGCUCAGAACGAACGCUGGCGGCGUGCUUAACACAUGCAAGUCGCGUGCGCAGUUGCCGUAGCAAUACGGUGAUGGGCGCACGGCGCACGGGUGCGUAACACGUGGGCAAUCUGCCCUCCGAUGGGGAAUAACCCCGCGAAAGCGGGGCUAAUACCGCAUAACAUUCCUUGGACUACCGUUCGAGGAUUCAAAGCAGUGAUGCGUCGGAGGAGGAGCCCGCGCCCGAUUAGCUAGUUGGUAGGGUAACGGCCUACCAAGGCAAUGAUCGGUAGCUGGUCUGAGAGGAUGAUCAGCCACACUGGAACUGAGACACGGUCCAGACUCCUACGGGAGGCAGCAGUGGGGAAUCUUGCACAAUGGGCGAAAGCCUGAUGCAGCGACGCCGCGUGGGGGAUGAAGCUUCUCGGAGUGUAAACCCCUUUCGACUGGGACGAAUGCCCGCAAGGGAGUGACGGUACCAGUAGAAGAAGCCCCGGCUAACUACGUGCCAGCAGCCGCGGUAAGACGUAGGGGGCCAGCGUUGUUCGGAAUUACUGGGUGUAAAGGGUUCGUAGGCGGUGUGGCAAGUCGGGAGUGAAAUCUCUGGGCUCAACCCGGAGGCUGCUUCCGAAACUGCUGUGCUCGAGUGUGGGAGAGGCGCGUGGAAUUGCAGGUGUAGCGGUGAAAUGCGUAGAUAUCUGCAGGAACACCCGUGGCGAAAGCGGCGCGCUGGACCACUACUGACGCUGAGGAACGAAAGCUAGGGGAGCAAACAGGAUUAGAUACCCUGGUAGUCCUAGCCCUAAACGAUCAGGACUUGGGGUGCCACCCGUUCGGGUGUCGUCCCGGAGCUAACGCGUUAAGUCCUGCACCUGGGGAGUACGGUCGCAAGACUGAAACUCAAAGGAAUUGACGGGGGCCCGCACAAGCGGUGGAACAUGUGGUUCAAU
Molecule: ribosomal RNA, 943 nt
Filed under: uncultured bacterium
Lineage: Bacteria
Description: bacterial SSU rRNA
Rfam family: Bacterial small subunit ribosomal RNA
Source: RNAcentral